This 336-nucleotide long non-coding RNA is filed under the name Cottoperca gobio. RNAcentral describes it as "lncRNA (ENSCGOG00000000283.1)". The record is from RNAcentral. Lineage: Eukaryota; Metazoa; Chordata; Actinopteri; Perciformes; Bovichtidae.
CGGGAGUCCGUGAUGUCGCGAGACUUCCUCCUCCCAGUAGCCAUGUUGAGCUAGCAGUAGCAUUUUUGAGCUUCACAAAAAUUGAAUAAUAGUUGAUAUUAAGUCAAAACAGAUAUGUAAAUUGAGAAAUUAUCAGAUGAUAGUGAAGCUGUUUCCCUACAGAAGCCAUGAAACAACCAGAAGUGCCGGUUUUAUCUGAAUUAGCUGAACUUCUCUGCUCGGAACCCGGAUCUGCAUUUCCACUGAAGCCGCCAGACGAGCCUCUGCGCUGUGCCUGCUGAUUCAUCUGCAGUUCAUCUCUGACAACCACACAGCUCCUCUUGGCUUACAGUCACU